Molecule: long non-coding RNA, 1757 nt
Organism: Lutra lutra (Eurasian river otter)
Lineage: Eukaryota; Metazoa; Chordata; Mammalia; Carnivora; Mustelidae
Exons: 3
Source: RefSeq, a predicted model, not a curated record
GGGCGCAGCUGGGCACGGAAGCGUGGGGCGGCGGCGAGUCCCUCCCUGCGGCGAUCCGCCCCCGCCCGGAGCCCCUAGCCUGUCCCGCGGAAACCGCGGGCGCUGCAGCACCCCCGUCGCGCUCGGUUUACCGGCCUGUGUAAUGGGCCGAGGUCGUGCACCGCCGGACCCAGAAACAGGCGUUUCUUCAACAUGCACUGUCAAGCGGCUACUGUGUGCAAGGAGCGCGAGUGGGGGGCGCUGGGCCGGGGUCAGGGAGCCCGCACUUGGUGGACACUUCGAGCAGGGCUCCCUAGCUGGGGCCCUCUCCGCCUGCGCUAGCUUCUAGAGCCCUACCGCGUGCAGAGGUGACAAGGACCGUGCGUACACCUACUGUCUGCCAGCAGGUGUUGAGCGCCUGGGGAGGAGAGCCGUCGUCGAGCCUGACCCCCAGGACCUGCUGUUCUCCCGAGGGAGAGCGCAGUAAACGGAUGAGAAUGACCUUAAGCGUCCCUAUAAGAUUUGGGUCUCUCUGGCUGCCUGCAAGGAAUGGACUCCGGGACGGUGCAGAGGCAGGACACCAGGAAGAGGUGACCACGACAGCUCAGCAGCAGGACACAGCGCAACUGCGUGCCACCCUACUCAGCCCACCAGAACACACCAUCACUUUUGUGAGGUCCGUGCAGAGAGGCGUGACCUGAAGCUAGCCAUGAGGAAGCCUCAGGCAAAUCCAAAGUAAAGGGCAAGCUACAAAGAGGCUGGCCUGUCAUCCUCAAAAUUGCCAAGGACAAGAGAAAGGCCACGGAAGACUGAGGAGCUGUUGAGAGAGCCCGAUACAACCGAAGGAAGUGAGGUGUGGUCCUGGACCGGAAAGAAAUCAUAAAGACCUUCUUGGGGACCAUUAUGGAAUGUCGAAUAUGACAUGUGGGUUUGAGGGUGGUGUUGUAUCGAUGGUAAGUGUCACGAGUUUGUGUAUUGUGUGUGUGUAGUGGGGGUCGGGGGCCGGGAGAUCCAUGCCGGAGGGUUUGCGGAAUCAAAGGACAUCACAUCCACAACUGACUCUUCAUCAUUCAGGACAAGAGAGAAACAUAAAUAGAGAGGAAAUGAUGAAGUGGGACAGAACAUAAAUAAUCUGGGCAAAGGAGAUCCUGGAGUUCCUUAUAACUCCCAUAAUUUUUCUGUAAGUUCAGAAGUUGUGCGACAGUCCGUUGAAAAGCAAAUCAAAACAUUUGACCUCCAAGAAACCCAAGAGAAAUGAAAAUAUAUGUCCACCAAAGAGACCUGCAAGCAUGUUCAUGGGAGUUUUAUUUAUAAUAGCCCCAAGCUGGACACAGCCCAGAUGUCUUUCAGCACGUGAGAAGAUCAACAAAUUGUGGGUCAUCUAUAAAUGGACUACUACGCCGUGGUGCUGGGGGGCGAGCUAUGGAGUCCUGCACACGAUGGCUGAAUGGAGAGCACAUUGGCCAAGGGACCGAAGCCAGACACAAAAGACCACGUACCCUGUGAUCGCUCUGAUAGAAAGUUCUGGGCCAGGUCUGAUGAAUCCAGAAGUCACCACAGUGGUUCUUUCUGUGGCUGGAGGAGUUUCACUGCUCGGGAAGGGGCCUUCGGGAACCUUCUGGGCUGCUGCUAAGUUUCUGUCUUGACCUGGGUGGUAGUGAUAUGGAUUUAUACACACGUGAGUAAAUACUCAUUGAGAUAAAAACUCAGCAAGACAGAUUCCCUCUCGGUAUUUACAUAUGUUAAACUCAAAAUCAGAGUAAAAAAAGAAAAAAAAU